UGAGUAUUUUUUCGUAUACCGAACAGAUCAUCGUUGACUUUCGGUAACGAAGAAUACUUGGA
This 62-nucleotide microRNA precursor is filed under the name Schmidtea mediterranea. Its description in RNAcentral is "Sme-Mir-12-P11_pre stem-loop". The record is from RNAcentral. Lineage: Eukaryota; Metazoa; Platyhelminthes; Tricladida; Dugesiidae.